RNAcentral lists this ribosomal RNA (442 nucleotides) under uncultured bacterium. RNAcentral's name for it is "bacterial SSU rRNA". It matches the Rfam family "Bacterial small subunit ribosomal RNA", at positions 958 to 1398 of the family's 1533-position model. The record is from RNAcentral.
AACGCGAAGAACCUUACCUGGGUUUGACAUCUCUGGAUAACCGUAGAGAUACGGCUUUCGUAGCAAUACGACCAGAAGACAGGUGCUGCAUGGCUGUCGUCAGCUCGUGUGGUGACAUGUUGGGUUAAGUCCCGCAACGAGCGCAACCCUUAUUCUUAGUUGCCAGCAUUCAGUUGGGCUCUCUAAGGAGACUGCCGUGGUUAACACGGAGGAAGGUGGGGAUGACGUCAAGUCCUCAUGGCCUUUAUAUCCAGGGCGACACACGUGAUACAAUGGACGGUACAGAGGGAAGCGAAACCGCGAGGUGGAGCCAAUCUCAAAAAGCCGUUACUCAGUUCGGAUUGGAGUCUGUAACUCGACUCCAUGAAGUUGGAAUCGCUAGUAAUCGCGGAUCAGCACGCCGCGGUGAAUACGUUCCCGGGCCUUGUACACACCGCUCGUC